AAAAAGGGCUUCUGUUGUGAGUGGCACAUGUGGGGUAACUCAACUGCUCUUGGUGCAGAAUCCACAUCAAGAGAUUUCAGAAGCAUAAUUUUUUGGAACUUGGGCAGCUGGUGAUCGUUGAUCCCGGCAUCCAU
Molecule: small nuclear RNA, 134 nt
Organism: Otolemur garnettii (small-eared galago)
Lineage: Eukaryota; Metazoa; Chordata; Mammalia; Primates; Galagidae
Source: Ensembl